This is a long non-coding RNA of Lolium perenne, 318 nucleotides long. RefSeq lists it as uncharacterized. The record is from RefSeq and is a predicted model, not a curated record. NCBI's taxonomy places the organism in Eukaryota, Viridiplantae, Streptophyta, Magnoliopsida, Poales, Poaceae.
AAUCACGCCAGGUUAAAGGAAUGAACCAUCUUACCAUAGCUCCAGGCUAAGGUCAUCUUCAUCUCAGUCGAGUUCAUCCAUCUUCAGUCGCCAUGCUCAGUCAAUACCUGCUCAGUCGCCACGCCUCCAAGAGGGUAAUGGCACCAAGUCAUGUUACAUUCUGCAAUGUGGAACAAUUGCAUAUCUACAACAGAUCCUGGGAGGCAACUGCGAAACUUAUUUCUGGUCGAAUAAAAAACAAUAGAGGAGGUGAUCUAAUCUACCAUGCUAUCCUCGUCGACGAAAAUGUAAGUAUUCCAACAAUUAUGAUAUGUGUAA